AGCCUUUAUAGCUCAACGGUAGAGCUCGGUACUGUUAAUACUGAGAUAGAUGUUCGACUCAUCUUAAGGGCU
RNAcentral lists this transfer RNA (72 nucleotides) under Diaporthe longicolla. Its description in RNAcentral is "tRNA-Asn". It matches the Rfam family "tRNA". Rfam says of the family: Transfer RNA (tRNA) molecules are approximately 80 nucleotides in length. Their secondary structure includes four short double-helical elements and three loops (D, anti-codon, and T loops). Further hydrogen bonds mediate the characteristic L-shaped molecular structure. tRNAs have two regions of fundamental functional importance: the anti-codon, which is responsible for specific mRNA codon recognition, and the 3' end, to which the tRNAs corresponding amino acid is attached (by aminoacyl-tRNA synthetases). tRNAs cope with the degeneracy of the genetic code in two manners: having more than one tRNA (with a specific anti-codon) for a particular amino acid; and 'wobble' base-pairing, i.e. permitting non-standard base-pairing at the 3rd anti-codon position. Lineage: Eukaryota; Fungi; Ascomycota; Sordariomycetes; Diaporthales; Diaporthaceae. The record is from RNAcentral.